UAACUGGAGAGUUUGAUCCUGGCUCAGAGUAAACGCUGGCGGCGUGCCUAACACAUGCAAGUCGAACGCGUUCCGGGGGGCAACUCCCGGGAUGAGUGGCGAACGGGUGAGUAA
RNAcentral lists this non-coding RNA (114 nucleotides) under Candidatus Aminicenantes bacterium RBG_13_63_10. RNAcentral describes it as "partial 16S ribosomal RNA". It matches the Rfam family "Bacterial small subunit ribosomal RNA", at positions 1 to 113 of the family's 1533-position model. Lineage: Bacteria; Candidatus Aminicenantota. The record is from RNAcentral.